GAUGAAGAACGCAGCGAAAUGCGAUAAGUAAUGCGAAUUGCAGAUCUCCGUGAGUCAUUGAAUCUUUGAACGCACAUUGCGCCCUCGGGUAUUCCCGAGGGCAUGCCUGUCCGAGCGUCAUUAUCCAACCAUCAAGCUCUGCUUGCGGUUGAGCCCCGCACCGUCCCCGGGACGGUGGGCUCGAAACAUGUUGGGCGCCCGUGAGGUUGUCGGUGCAGCGAGCUCUCGAGCACGUGCCGGGCAACCGCUCUGGGCGUCGGCCAGCCCCCCCAUUUUCUCAGGUUGACCUCGGAUCAGGUAGGAAUACCCGCUGAACUUAAGCAUAUCAAUAAGCGGAGGA
Molecule: unclassified non-coding RNA, 340 nt
Filed under: soil metagenome
Description: partial contains 5.8S ribosomal RNA, internal transcribed spacer 2, and large subunit ribosomal RNA
Rfam family: 5.8S ribosomal RNA (bases 1-120)
Source: RNAcentral